RNAcentral lists this non-coding RNA (81 nucleotides) under unclassified sequences. RNAcentral describes it as "pemK RNA". It matches the Rfam family "pemK RNA". The record is from RNAcentral.
AUAAUGAUACUUCCGCCCAGCCAUAGUCUAAAGCAAUGGGGGCGGCUUCAUGAGAACCAUGUUGGGGUGAAAGACCCAUGA